This 443-nucleotide RNase P RNA is filed under the name Ignavibacteria bacterium. RNAcentral describes it as "RNase P RNA component class A". It matches the Rfam family "Bacterial RNase P class A". From Rfam's summary of the family: Ribonuclease P (RNase P) is a ubiquitous endoribonuclease, found in archaea, bacteria and eukarya as well as chloroplasts and mitochondria. Its best characterised activity is the generation of mature 5'-ends of tRNAs by cleaving the 5'-leader elements of precursor-tRNAs. Lineage: Bacteria; Pseudomonadati; Ignavibacteriota; Ignavibacteria. The record is from RNAcentral.
CGGGGAAAACGGGCGGUUGCAUUAGAAAUAAUGAGGAAAGUCCGGACACUACAGAACAGCACGCUUCGUAACGCGAAGGCAGUGAUAUUUGGACGAAUACUUCAAACAAGCUGACGGAAAGUGCAGCAGAAAACAAACCGCCAAUAUUUGUAUGUCUAUAUAAUCUAUAGAUAUACAAAACGGUAAGGGUGAAAUGGCGAGGUAAGAGCUCACCGCGUCUCGGGUGACCGAGACGGCAUUGCAAACCCCGUGCGGUGCAAGACUAAAUAAGAGUCAAGAGCAUUUCGGUGUUGAUGGGCUGUUCGUCCAUCUCGGCAAUAGCAAUAUCGCCACUUGGCUCGGGUAAGUCGCUAUAAGGAUUGCGGUGACGCAAUUCACAGAUAAAUUUCCGCCUCUUUGAUUCAUCAAAAAGACAGAAUCCGGCUUAUAGUUUUCUUCGCUUU